Molecule: long non-coding RNA, 579 nt
Filed under: Setaria italica (foxtail millet)
Lineage: Eukaryota; Viridiplantae; Streptophyta; Magnoliopsida; Poales; Poaceae
Description: long non-coding RNA (SITA_LNC001382)
Source: RNAcentral
GAGCAACAACCUGAUCGGGAUCCUGAACGCGGUGACCUUCCUUCUCUCCAUCCCGAUCCUGGGCGCGGGCAUUUGGCUGGGCCACCGCGCCGACGGCACCGAGUGCGAGCGCUACCUCUCGGCGCCCGUAAUCGCGCUGGGGGUCUUCCUCCUCGUCGUCUCCAUCGCGGGGCUCGUCGGCGCCUGCUGCCGCGUCACCUGGCUGCUCUGGGUCUACCUCCUCGCUAUGUUCGUCCUCAUCGUCGCCCUCUUCUGCUUCACCGUCUUCGCCUUCGUCGUCACCAACCGGGGCGCCGGGGAGGCCGUGUCGGGCCGGGGGUACAAGGAGUACAGGCUUGGGGACUACUCCAACUGGCUGCAGAAGCGGGUGGAGAACCACAAGAACUGGAACAGGAUCAGGAGCUGCCUCCAGGGCUCCAAGGUCUGCAAGAACCUGCAGGACAAGAAGGAGUCGGUCACCGACUUCAUGCGUUCCGACCUCUCCCCGAUCGAGGUACUUGCUUAAUUACGUGAAAAAUGCAUUUUUCUUCCCUUAAUCUUCAGUCUCAGUUUUUUUUUGACAAAUCACCAAGACAGAUU